Molecule: ribosomal RNA, 497 nt
Filed under: uncultured bacterium
Lineage: Bacteria
Description: partial 16S ribosomal RNA
Rfam family: Bacterial small subunit ribosomal RNA
Source: RNAcentral
GAUGAACGCUGGCGGCGUGCCUAAUACAUGCCAGUCGAGCGAACAGACGAGGAGCUUGCUCCUCUGACGUUAGCGGCGGACGGGUGAGUAACACGUGGAUAACCUACCUAUAAGACUGGGAUAACUUCGGGAAACCGGAGCUAAUACCGGAUAAUAUAUUGAACCGCAUGGUUCAAUAGUGAAAGACGGCUUUGCUGUCACUUAUAGAUGGAUCCGCGCCGCAUUAGCUAGUUGGUAAGGUAACGGCUUACCAAGGCAACGAUGCGUAGCCGACCUGAGAGGGUGAUCGGCCACACUGGAACUGAGACACGGUCCAGACUCCUACGGGAGGCAGCAGUAGGGAAUCUUCCGCAAUGGGCGAAAGCCUGACGGAGCAACGCCGCGUGAGUGAUGAAGGUCUUCGGAUCGUAAAACUCUGUUAUUAGGGAAGAACAAAUGUGUAAGUAACUAUGCACGUCUUGACGGUACCUAAUCAGAAAGCCACGGCUAACUACGUG